Molecule: ribosomal RNA, 468 nt
Filed under: uncultured bacterium
Lineage: Bacteria
Description: partial 16S ribosomal RNA
Rfam family: Bacterial small subunit ribosomal RNA
Source: RNAcentral
GACGAACGCUGGCGGCGUGCUUAACACAUGCAAGUCGAACGGAAAGGCCCUGCUUUUGUGGGGUGCUCGAGUGGCGAACGGGUGAGUAACACGUGAGUAACCUGCCCUUGACUUUGGGAUAACUUCAGGAAACUGGGGCUAAUACCGGAUAGGAGCUCCUGCUGCAUGGUGGGGGUUGGAAGGUUUCGGCGGUUGGGGCUGGGCUCGCGGCUUAUCAGCUUGUUGGUGGGGUAGUGGCUUACCAAGGCUUUGACGGGUAGCCGGCCUGAGAGGGUGACCGGCCACAUUGGGACUGAGAUACGGCCCAGACUCCUACGGGAGGCAGCAGUGGGGAAUAUUGCACAAUGGGCGGAAGCCUGAUGCAGCAACGCCGCGUGCGGGAUGACGGCCUUCGGGUUGUAAACCGCUUUCGCCUGUGACGAAGCGUGAGUGACGGUAAUGGGUAAAGAAGCACCGGCUAACUACGUG